This 461-nucleotide ribosomal RNA is filed under the name uncultured bacterium. RNAcentral's name for it is "bacterial SSU rRNA". It matches the Rfam family "Bacterial small subunit ribosomal RNA", at positions 27 to 507 of the family's 1533-position model. The record is from RNAcentral.
GAGUGAACGUUGGCGGUGUGCCUAAUACAUGCAAGUCGAACGAAGUUGAUAGCGAUAUUAGCUUAGUGGCGAACGGGUGAGUAACGCGUUGGUGAUCUGCCUUGAAGUGUGGAAUAACGUUUCGAAAGGAACGCUAAUACCGCAUGUGCUCUCGAUUUUCAGAAAGUUGAGAGUAAAGGAUUUAUUCGCUUCAAGAGGAGCCUGCGUCCCAUCAGCUGGUUGGUAGGGUAACGGCCUACCAAGGCUAUGACGGGUAGGGGACCUGAGAGGGUGGCCCCCCCACAAUGGAACUGAAACACGGUCCAUACACCUACGGGUGGCAGCAGUAGGGAAUAUUAGAAAUGGACGAAAGUCUGAUCUAGCAACACCGCGUGUGCGAAGAAGGCCUUCGGGUUGUAAAGCACUUUUUGGAAGGAUUAGGAAGGAAUGUACUUCCAGAAUAAGUCUCGGCUAACUACGUG